UGAACGCUGGCGGCGUGCUUAACACAUGCAAGUCGAACGAACCUUCGGGUUAGUGGCGGACGGGUGAGUAACGCGUGAGAAUCUGCCCUCAGGAGGGGGAUAACGGUUGGAAACGACCGCUAAUACCCCAUAUGCCGCGAGGUGAAAUGAAUUUCGCCUGAGGAUGAGCUCGCGUCUGAUUAGCUAGUUGGUGGGGUAAAGGCUUACCAAGGCAUCGAUCAGUAGCUGGUCUGAGAGGAUGAUCAGCCACACUGGGACUGAGACACGGCCCAGACUCCUACGGGAGGCAGCAGUGGGGAAUUUUCCGCAAUGGGCGAAAGCCUGACGGAGCAACGCCGCGUGAGGGAUGAAGGCCUCUGGGCUGUAAACCUCUUUUAUCAAGGAAGAAGAUCUGACGGUACUUGAGGAAUAA
RNAcentral lists this ribosomal RNA (412 nucleotides) under uncultured cyanobacterium. Its description in RNAcentral is "bacterial SSU rRNA". It matches the Rfam family "Bacterial small subunit ribosomal RNA", at positions 30 to 489 of the family's 1533-position model. The record is from RNAcentral. Lineage: Bacteria; Bacillati; Cyanobacteriota.